RNAcentral lists this ribosomal RNA (497 nucleotides) under uncultured bacterium. Its description in RNAcentral is "partial 16S ribosomal RNA". It matches the Rfam family "Bacterial small subunit ribosomal RNA", at positions 28 to 507 of the family's 1533-position model. The record is from RNAcentral.
GACGAACGCUGGCGGCGUGCCUAAUACAUGCAAGUAGAACGCUGAAGCGAGGAGCUUGCUCUUCUUGGAUGAGUUGCGAACGGGUGAGUAACGCGUAGGUAACCUGCCUUGUAGCGGGGGAUAACUAUUGGAAACGAUAGCUAAUACCGCAUAACAAUGGAUGACACAUGUCAUUUUUUUGAAAGGGGCAAUUGCUCCACUACAAGAUGGACCUGCGUUGUAUUAGCUAGUAGGUGAGGUAAUGGCUCACCUAGGCGACGAUACAUAGCCGACCUGAGAGGGUGAGCGGCCACACUGGGAGUGAGACACGGCCCAGACGCCUACGGGAGGCAGCAGUAGGGAAUCGUCGGCAAUGGGGGCAACCCUGACCGAGCAACGCCGCGUGAGUGAAGAAGGUUUUCGGAUCGUAAAGCUCUGUUGUAAGUCAAGAACGGGUGUGAGAGUGGAAAGUUCACACUGUGACGGUAGCUUACCAGAAAGGGACGGCUAACUACGUG